AGCGAACGCUGGCGGCAGGCCUAACACAUGCAAGUCGAACGAACCUUUCGGGGUUAGUGGCGGACGGGUGAGUAACACGUGGGAACGUGCCUUUAGGUUCGGAAUAACUCAGGGAAACUUGUGCUAAUACCGCAUGUGCCCUUCGGGGGAAAGAUUUAUCGCCUUUAGAGCGGCCCGCGUCUGAUUAGCUAGUUGGUUGAGGUAAUGGCUCACCAAGGCGACGAUCAGUAGCUGGUCUGAGAGGAUGAUCAGCCACAUUGGGACUGAGACACGGCCCAAACUCCUACGGGAGGCAGCAGUGGGGAAUCUUGCGCAAUGGGCGAAAGCCUGACGCAGCCAUGCCGGGUGAAUGAUGAAGGUCUUAGGAUUGUAAAAUUCUUUCACCGGGGACGAUAAUGACGGUACCCGGAGAAGAAGCCCCGGCUAACUUCGUG
This 434-nucleotide ribosomal RNA is filed under the name uncultured bacterium. Its description in RNAcentral is "partial 16S ribosomal RNA". It matches the Rfam family "Bacterial small subunit ribosomal RNA", at positions 29 to 507 of the family's 1533-position model. The record is from RNAcentral.